CCUACGGGAGGCAGCAGUGAGGAAUAUUGGUCAAUGGACGCAAGUCUGAACCAGCCAAGUAGCGUGAAGGAUGACUGCCCUAUGGGUUGUAAACUUCUUUUGUAUGGGAAUAAAAUGAGACACGUGUGUCUUUUUGUAUGUACCGUAUGAAUAAGGAUCGGCUAACUCCGUGCCAGCAGCCGCGGUAAUACGGAGGAUCCGAGCGUUAUCCGGAUUUAUUGGGUUUAAAGGGAGCGUAGGUGGGUUGUUAAGUCAGUUGUGAAAGUCUGCGGCUCAACCGUAAAAUUGCAAUUGAUACUGGCAGUCUUGAGUACAGUUGAGGUAGGCGGAAUUCGUGGUGUAGCGGUGAAAUGCUUAGAGAUCACGAAGAACUCCGAUUGCGAAGGCAGUUUACUAAACUGCAACUGACAUUGAGGCUCGAAAGUGUGGGUAUCAAACAGGAUUAGAUACCCUGGUAGUC
Molecule: ribosomal RNA, 460 nt
Filed under: uncultured bacterium
Lineage: Bacteria
Description: partial 16S ribosomal RNA
Rfam family: Bacterial small subunit ribosomal RNA
Source: RNAcentral